CAGCCGCCACGGGAAUACGUAGGGUGCAAGCGUUAAUCGGAAUUACUGGGCGUAAAGCGUGCGCAGGCGGUUAUAUAAGACAGAUGUGAAAUCCCCGGGCUCAACCUGGGAACUGCAUUUGUGACUGUAUAGCUAGAGUACGGCAGAGGGGGAUGGAAUUCCGCGUGUAGCAGUGAAAUGCGUAGAUAUGCGGAGGAACACCGAUGGCGAAGGCAAUCCCCUGGGCCUGUACUGACGCUCAUGCACUAAAGCGUGGGGAGCAAACAGGAUUAGAUACCCGCGUAGUCCCUGUCUCUUAUAC
Molecule: ribosomal RNA, 301 nt
Filed under: uncultured bacterium
Lineage: Bacteria
Description: partial 16S ribosomal RNA
Rfam family: Bacterial small subunit ribosomal RNA
Source: RNAcentral